Molecule: ribosomal RNA, 449 nt
Filed under: uncultured bacterium
Lineage: Bacteria
Description: partial 16S ribosomal RNA
Rfam family: Bacterial small subunit ribosomal RNA
Source: RNAcentral
AACGAACGCUGGCGGCAUGCCUAACACAUGCAAGUCGAACGAGAUCUUCGGGUCUAGUGGCGCACGGGUGCGUAACGCGUGGGAAUCUGCCCUUUGGUUCGGAAUAACAGUUGGAAACGACUGCUAAUACCGGACGAUGACGUAAGUCCAAAGAUUUAUCGCCAGAGGAUGAGCCCGCGUAGGAUUAGCUAGUUGGUGUGGUAAAGGCGCACCAAGGCGACGAUCCUUAGCUGGUCUGAGAGGAUGAUCAGCCACACUGGGACUGAGACACGGCCCAGACUCCUACGGGAGGCAGCAGUGGGGAAUAUUGGACAAUGGGGGAAAGCCUGAUCCAGCAAUGCCGCGUGAGUGAUGAAGGCCUUAGGGUUGUAAAGCUCUUUUACCCGGGAUGAUAAUGACAGUACCGGGAGAAUAAGCUCCGGCUAACUCCGUGCCAGCCGCCGCGGUAA